Molecule: ribosomal RNA, 824 nt
Filed under: uncultured bacterium
Lineage: Bacteria
Description: bacterial SSU rRNA
Rfam family: Bacterial small subunit ribosomal RNA
Source: RNAcentral
CAAGUCGAGGGGCAACGGGGAUGUUAGCUUGCUAAUAUCUGCCGGCGACCGGCGCACGGGUGAGUAACGCGUAUGCGACCUGCCCGUCACAGGGGGAUAAUCCGGAGAAAUCCGGUCUAAUACCGCAUAAUAUCGUGAAGCUGCAUGGUUUUGCGAUUAAAGGAGCGAUCCGGUGACGGAUGGGCAUGCGUGACAUUAGCUAGUCGGCGGGGUAACGGCCCACCGAGGCGACGAUGUAUAGGGGUUCUGAGAGGAAGGUCCCCCACACUGGUACUGAGACACGGACCAGACUCCUACGGGAGGCAGCAGUGAGGAAUAUUGGUCAAUGGGCUUACGCCUGAACCAGCCAAGUCGCGUGAGGGAAGACUGCCCUAUGGGUUGUAAACCUCUUUUGUCAGGGAGCAACGCCGGCUACGUGUAGCCGGACUGAGAGUACCCGAAGAAAAAGCAUCGGCUAACCCCGUGCCAGCAGCCGCGGUAAUACGGAGGAUGCGAGCGUUAUCCGGAUUUAUUGGGUUUAAAGGGUGCGCAGGCGGAAGAUCAAGUCAGCGGUAAAAUUGAGAGGCUCAACCUCUUCGAGCCGUUGAAACUGGUUUUCUUGAGUGAGCGAGAAGUAUGCGGAAUGCGUGGUGUAGCGGUGAAAUGCAUAGAUAUCACGCAGAACUCCGAUUGCGAAGGCAGCAUACCGGCGCUCAACUGACGCUCAUGCACGAAAGUGUGGGUAUCGAACAGGAUUAGAUACCCUGGUAGUCCACACAGUAAACGAUGAAUACUAAUUGUUCGGGGAGAAUGAUCCCUGAGUGAUACAGCGAAAGCGUUAAGUA